AUUGUAAGAAGUCUGUCUCUGAUGCCAAUAUGUCUGCUGGCCACACAUUCCCUUGAUCUUAUCAUUAUCACAAUACAGUUGGUACAAUGGUAGAAUAGCGACCGGGAGUGAGAGAUUGGGAACCAUUCAAGUCAACAGACGUGCUAAUUCAAUCACAACAGGACGGCCAAUACACUAUGGCCUAAUUGAUAGGUGUUACAAGGACUGACUACAUCCGUCUUGGUAUGUAUAUUCAACACUACUGAUCAAAGCUUCGAAAACAAAUAAGAAGCAGCCUCUGGAAAGGUUCGUGGUUCAUUCUGACUCUGCUGAAUCCAAGGUGUCAUUCGUGCGCUUUGUCACUGCCGGUAUUGGAAAUAAACUUUGUACUUUUUCAUCACGUUCGAGAGACGUCCUUUUUUCCUUACAACUGGCGAGCCACCCAGCGAGGAAUUCCGAAAAAAAAAAAACCGGGGACACUAAGAAAUCCAGCAUAAAUAUGUGGGAGACCCUCUUGACAGUAAUACUACCGGUGAUGGCGAUGACACAAGAGUGCCCAGAGCAGCGGCCAGCACCUCUGUCUGGGAUAAUUGCAAGACCACACCAGGGCGCCCUGAUCAACAAUGUCCAAUGGGUCCAUAUUCCAGUCCUGGUGAACUUGACAGCAUGGUCUCCAGAUCUGGACGAGCACUGCAAAGGGGAGAGCGUGACCCAGAUGUACAAGGACCUCAUGACAACAGCAUUCCUGAAAUACCAUGACAUGGUGGCUGCCAACUUCCAGAGCGACAGCCCAACCCCCACACCUACCAGACGAAAACUGCUCGGGUUCCUGGAUGGUGUUCUAGGAGCUACGGGAACCGGGUUAGGUAUUUCAAAUUGGAUGGAUACCCUACCUGUCCAUCAAUGAUAGUCUUACAGGAUGCCAGAUAAAUACUACUUCAUUUUGCAUGACUCCCCCUACAGCUUGGUCCAUUGGGCCCUACCAUUUUCCAUAUGUAAAUACCACACGUCACAUUUUGUCUACUAGGCCGGAGGAUGAGUUAGGAUUUGUAGAAGAAAUCCCAGAAUUUGAUUUUGAACUACCCACGUUGGACAACAUGUUAAUGACUCUAAUGCAAAGAAAAGACAGUCAUGUCAUAAAAAUACAACAGGGGCUCCAGGGUAAGGAUGGUACUCUCAUCAGUCAAAUGCAUGAUGGAGAUGUAGACCUAGCCUACUCAAGUACAUUGUGGGAAUUGACAUUUAAAGCCGCCGUAUGCAUCUGUUUAAUACUGAUUUUGAUUCAAAGUGUUAUGAUUUGUUGUAUGUGUUCUGUCCUAAACCGACAAAGACUUAUAUUUUCAAAUGACAUUGUAAAGCAGUCCCCUUGGCUUGGGUAGUACCCAGUCUCAAAUAUCUCGGCCGCUGACUAUUUGUUAUAGUUUAUUAUUUAUCAGCAUGGCACCCAGGUUGUGGUGGUGAUAACAUCCACAGGGAAAGCAGAGGCAAUAGCAGACAGCGCUCAGAGUAGGACCAGUGGAAUGAGGUGUUGCUCCAAUGACGGGUAAGGUUCUCCGCGUGAUAGGAGAGCAACCUAAGGCAGGACAGCACCGCCACUGAUGAAGACUAUGUGCAUGUGAUGCUUUAUUGCAAAUAAGCAUCAAACGGGGGACUGUAAGAAGUCUGUCUCUGAUGCCAAUAUGUCUGCUGGCCACACAUUCCCUUGAUCUUAUCAUUAUCACAAUACAGUUGGUACAAUGGUAGAAUAGCGACCGGGAGUGAGAGAUUGGGAACCAUUCAAGUCAACAGACGUGCAAAUUCAAUCACAACAGGACGGCCAAUACACUAUGGCCUAAUUGAUAGGUGUUACAAGGACUGACUACAUCCGUCUUGGUAUGUAUAUUCAACACUACUGAUCAAAGCUUCGAAAACAAAUAAGAAGCAGCCUCUGGAAAGGUUCGUGGUUCAUUCUGACUCUGCUGAAUCCAAGGUGUCAUUCGUGCGCUUUGUCACUGCCGGUAUUGGAAAUAAACUUUGUACUUUUUCAUCA
Anguilla rostrata (American eel) is the source of this 2008-nucleotide long non-coding RNA. RefSeq lists it as uncharacterized. Lineage: Eukaryota; Metazoa; Chordata; Actinopteri; Anguilliformes; Anguillidae. The transcript has 2 exons. The record is from RefSeq and is a predicted model, not a curated record.